AUACUUGCAAAACGGGUAAAAGCAACUAUAAUUAAAAGUGCCGUGCAAACGGUGAUGACGCUGAAUGUCUGGAUCUAGGUUUCAUGGACUCGGGGGCGGUACCCGACAUCUCCACCACUUAAUGCUUAUGGGGAUGAUACAGAUUCGACAGGGAUUGACGGUUCGGAACUGCGUUCGGGGUGGCUUCCGUAAAAGGCUAAAAAACAUGAAUGGCGAUAGAAUCGCUGCGAACAGCAAUGUUCGCCUUGCAGUGGCUGCCUAAGGGCGCGGGUUUUCGGGGCGAUUGUUUCGGAAAUCCAUUUUGCCAACUGCGGGGUUUCCCUGUGCCCGGCAACAGAAACAGGGAACU
RNAcentral lists this transfer-messenger RNA (349 nucleotides) under Rickettsiales bacterium. It matches the Rfam family "Alphaproteobacteria transfer-messenger RNA". From Rfam's summary of the family: Bacterial tmRNA, also known as 10Sa RNA or SsrA, is named for its dual tRNA and mRNA-like properties. The record is from RNAcentral. Lineage: Bacteria; Pseudomonadati; Pseudomonadota; Alphaproteobacteria; Rickettsiales.